This is a long non-coding RNA of Bos taurus (domestic cattle), 774 nucleotides long. The record is from Ensembl. NCBI's taxonomy places the organism in Eukaryota, Metazoa, Chordata, Mammalia, Artiodactyla, Bovidae.
AGCUUCCCCAGGGGCUCAGUGGUAAAGAAUCCUCCCACCAGCGCAGGAGUCAGGUUGGAUCCCCGCUCUGGGAAGAUCCCGCGUGCCACGGGGGCACUAAACCCGCAUGGCACAACAAUUGGCUGUGCUCUAGAGCCUGGGAACAGCAACUGAUGAAGCCUGUGAGCCCGAGGGCCCGUGCUCUGCAACGUGAGAAACUACGCAGGGCAACUAGAACCUGCUCGCUACAACUAGAGCGGCCCCUGCUUGCAUAACUAGAGGAGAGCCUGCGCAGCAACAAAGACCCAGGACAGCUGGAAAUAAAUAACAAAAUAAAUUUUACCAACAAAGAAAGACGCUUUCCUGAAUUUGAAUAAAUCUUCAGAUUUGCUGGAGGAGAAAGGAAGCUGGAAUCAGCUCUCGGUUGAGCAGGGCUUCCCAGGUGGCACAGUGGUAAAGAAUCUGCCUGCCGACCAAGAGCUGCAGGUUCAGUCUCCAGGUCUGGAAGAGCCUCUGGAGGAGGAAAUGACAACUCACCCCCAGUGUUCUUGCCUGGAAAAUUCUAUGGACAGAUGAGCCUUGUGCGUUACAGUCCAUGAGGCCGCAAACAGUCAGACAAAACUGAGCGACUGAGCACACACUGGGGUGAGCUACUUCACAAGGGGAUCUUCCUGACCCAGGGAUCGAACCCAGGUCUCCCGCAUUGGAGGCGGAUGCUUUGAGACACUGGGGAAAAUCUUACCUGAAGGUAGGCUGUUUCAUACAUCUCCUGUGAUCCCCUUCUUUGAGUUUUUG